GUCUGAAUAACAACCCCCUUCUCUCCCCAGCCACUGUCUUUGGGCGGUGUGGGAACCAGAGUGCUCUACUUCCUGUACACGUGAGCAACCUCUUCGUCUUUUACAGGUGCUGUGGUUAUGGUGUUCAAGAUUAUGCCAAGAUGUAUGCAGUGCUAGGAAUCAAAUCCAAGAUUUUACGCACAUUAAACAAGCAUUCUG
Long non-coding RNA from Mastomys coucha (southern multimammate mouse), 198 nucleotides. RefSeq lists it as uncharacterized. The transcript has 2 exons. Lineage: Eukaryota; Metazoa; Chordata; Mammalia; Rodentia; Muridae. The record is from RefSeq and is a predicted model, not a curated record.